GACGAACGCUGGCGGCGUGCUUAACACAUGCAAGUCGAACGCUGAAGCUUGGUGCUUGCUCUGGGUGGAUGAGUGGCGAACGGGUGAGUAAUACGUGAGUAACCUGCCCUUGACUCUGGGAUAAGCCUGGGAAACUGGGUCUAAUACUGGAUACGACAUGUCACCGCAUGGUGGCGUGUGGAAAGGGUUUUACUGGUUUUGGAUGGGCUAACGGCCUAUCAGCUUGUUGGUGGGUUAUGGCUCACCAAGGCGACGACGGGUAGCCGGCCUGGGAGGGUGACCGGCCACACUGGGACUGGGACACGGCCCAGACUCCUACGGGAGGCAGCGGUGGGGAAUAUUGCGAAAUGGGCGAAAGCCUGAUGCAGCGACGCCGCGUGGGGGAUGACGGCCUUCGGGUUGUAAACCUCUUUCAGCACGGAAGAAGCGAAAGGGACGGUACGUGCAGAAGAAGCGCCGGCAAACUACGU
This 470-nucleotide ribosomal RNA is filed under the name uncultured bacterium. RNAcentral's name for it is "partial 16S ribosomal RNA". It matches the Rfam family "Bacterial small subunit ribosomal RNA", at positions 28 to 506 of the family's 1533-position model. The record is from RNAcentral.